CCCUUCUCCUCCCCUCAAAGGCCAGGACCCUGUCACCCAUCCCCUUGCCGCGCUGCGGGACUCCAGACCGGUGCGCGGGGAGAUCCAGGCAGCGCGCCGCCUGCCCCUCGCCCCCUCCCCGAAGCUUCUCUGCGGUGCUACGGCCGCAUUCUGCGAGCGCCGACCGGUCCAUCGUCCCGAGCUUGCUUUACUCUGACCUUUUUCUAUCUUGGUGUCCGCUUGUCUCAGUCUCUGAGUCUGUCUCUCUCUCGCCCUCGGUGAAUUUCUCUCUCUAUUUCCUGUGGGAACCGUGCAUUUGUGUGGGUAUCUGCUCGUGGGUCUGGGAAUCCCUCGCUCUAUUUCCCCCACCCCCAGUCGCACUGCAGGGCGGCCCCCCAGCUUUCUGGCGGGCCUUGUAGGCUCUACAGACGGACAGCAAGGACCCCCACGGAGACCUCCAGUGAACCCUGACCUUAGCCCCGGGCCAGUGUUGCCUCCAUCUCUGAGCAUCCUGUGCUCACAAGCCUCAGUUUCCCGCUGUGCAUAGUAGUUAAGAGCAAGGAUCCUGGAAUCAGGCUACUGCAUCCUGGCUUCACUACUCACCAACUCUGUCACCUUGGAUAAACUCUUCAUGCCUGUUGCUUUCUCUCUAAAGUUGAGAUUAAAAACACCUACCUCUUGAUUAAUAUGUAAAAAUAGCCCUCACAUUCGCCUACUUAUGAGAGGGUAUGGAGAGCACAUUGCAGACUCUUGGGCAGAGAGAAGGUGGUUGGGGGUGGUGUAGUCUCCCACCUGGAUCUCCAGGCCUGGUCUAGCUCCCCACUGGGUUACCGCUGCCACCUGAUCCUCCUCAGUCACUGUGCUGAAUUAGAUCCCCUGUAGAUAAGCGCUGGGAGCAGGGGGGAGGGAAUUUGCAGCCCCUGCAGGCGCUCUCCCAGCAGGGCUGGUGUGCGUGUGGAUGAAUCCUCCCUUUUAUCCAACAGCAACCUCCAGUCUAUGGAAUAAUCUGGUGUAAAUCGAACUCCCUCAUUCCACAGGUGGGUCAAGAGAGGCCCAGAGAGGGGAAGGGGCUCACCUAGGCUCCUGCGACAAGAUAGAGCAGGGCCGGGGACAACCCUUGUCACAGAAUCCUCAUGAUAGAGUUCUCUAUCCUCCCAAGCCAGAAGAGGAUGGAAGGCAGGUCUGGCUGCUCAUGUCCUGUGAGAGCAAGUCCUCUGGGCUGCUCUCUGGGGCCUCAGACCGAGGGGAUCUAUCUAAUGUGCUGGGUUUGGAUAAACACACUGUUCUUAGGAAAAAGAGAAGAGGUCCAGUGCUCAAACCAUGGACAGGCAAUUGGGCAGGGACUAGUGGCCUGGAAUCAGAAUUUCUUAGGUGAUAGGGCUCUCCAGAAAAAAGGGGCCUUGGAGAACAGUUUCUUGCAUGAAUCCAGAUAAACUUACAUGCCUAGGGCUGCUAGAUUUGGCAGAUUUAUUUUAUUUGCCAACCCUACACUUACCCCAGGCUUGCUCAUUGCUACAUGGAGAUCUCUCUCCCACUCAUAGACACCCCACACUACCACCCACCAGCUCCAACCAGCCCAGCUCUGCUAGUGUCUAAGGAAAUGGAGAGAAAAGCAGCAUUGGCAUCAUGUGACUCCUUCUCAACUGGUGAAUGUCUUCAUUUCUAAAAUGGCAAAUGUGAACACGUGGCUUCCUUCCUUGCAGUGCUCUCCUGGUCCCCCAGGUCGCAGCCCCCUGCCCAGCUUCAGGGUUAGACUGGCUGAGGCAUUUGCUGCCCAGAUACUCUGGUUCUAACACGCCAGGCAAGACGCUCUACUGAGCACCAGCGGCUGCCAGCCCUUGCCUCUGCCUGGCCCUGCUGCACACUGGCUGCGGCUGAGACCUAGGUCGGGGAAAGGGGAUACAGGCCUCUCAGCUCCUGUUCUGAAAGGUGAGGGUGGGACACGAUCUCAAGGAAUCAUGCAGACUCUUCAAACACACACUUUUACAGUGUGUAACUGUAGGCUCGAGAGAUCAUGUGACUUGCUGGGCUUUUGAAGGGCCCCGGUUGGGCUGGACCCAGGUGUGGAGACUCCUGGCCCAGAGCUCCUCUAGUUAUCCGAAUAACUCUGCUUGGCCCCUGGCGGAGCUGCACGCUUGCCUGGAAGAGGUAUUUCUGGGAGCCUGUCAUCCCUCCCGAGGUUCUGGGCCACCUUGUUUUGAACAAUUCCAGGCGUAGGUGCACUGGGGGCUGGGAGAGGGGCAUUCGGGAUUCCUUCAGUUUUCCUGUCCUCCUCUCGUGUGGGCUUCUCCCACCUGCCGGCUCAGCCUCUUCGACGUCUUCGAGCCGCCGUCUGCGACCCCGCCUGGGUCUGUCACUCCCCUCCGCGAACACCUGGGCGCCUUCCCAGCAGCCUGGGCUGCAGCCUCUACGAAGUACGAGUGACGGGCUCUGUGGGUCUUGGUUACAAUGUCACAGUUCGUGCCCCGCCUCUUCCUUCGUCUGCCUCGCUAUUUGGCCACCUCCUUCGAGCAGCCCAGAAACAAUUGGGAGGAGGCACUUGGCGGGGGGAGAGCGCCUGUUCCGGGGAUUUUCCACUCCAAAAUGUUCGGAUAAUCGGGGAGCCGUCGUUGCGUGUUUUGCGAUGUGUUGAUCUCAGUGGUGUGCCUCCGCUUAUGGCCCCUCCCUUGCCUUCUUAUGGUCCCUGUUCAUGCUGUUUUCCUCGCCUCGGGGCAGUGAGAGCUCUCAGAUGAUUAUGAGAAUAUUAUUA
Molecule: long non-coding RNA, 2728 nt
Organism: Equus caballus (horse)
Lineage: Eukaryota; Metazoa; Chordata; Mammalia; Perissodactyla; Equidae
Source: Ensembl